GCAGCAGCCGCGGUAAUACGAAGGGGGCUAGCGUUGUUCGGAUUUACUGGGCGUAAAGCGCACGUAGGCGGACUUUUAAGUCAGGGGUGAAAUCCCGGGGCUCAACCCCGGAACUGCCUUUGAUACUGGGAGUCUUGAGUUCGAGAGAGGUGAGUGGAAUUGCGAGUGUAGAGGUGAAAUUCGUAGAUAUUCGCAGGAACACCAGUGGCGAAGGCGGCCCACUGGCUCGAUACUGACGCUGAGGUGCGAAAGCGUGGGGAGCAAACAGGAUUAGAUACCCGCGUAGUCCCUGUCUCUUAUAC
RNAcentral lists this ribosomal RNA (302 nucleotides) under uncultured bacterium. RNAcentral's name for it is "partial 16S ribosomal RNA". It matches the Rfam family "Bacterial small subunit ribosomal RNA", at positions 508 to 807 of the family's 1533-position model. The record is from RNAcentral.